This 2751-nucleotide long non-coding RNA is filed under the name Homo sapiens (human). RNAcentral describes it as "non-protein coding lnc-HMBOX1-12:2". Lineage: Eukaryota; Metazoa; Chordata; Mammalia; Primates; Hominidae. The record is from RNAcentral.
AUUCAUAAAACCGAGGCCGAGAGGAAGAGGGAGGCGGCCUCCGACCCGCCGCCAGCGGCGGGCAGCGCCCGGACUUUGUGAAUGGAGCGCGCGGCGCCUUUCGCCGUCUACCCGCGGGCCCAGCCUGCGCCGCGCCUCCAGCCCGACACCGGCACCUGUGCCGCCGCUGCACCCCGCCGCUAGGCGGGCGGCGCCAAAGGAAAUAGCCGGCUGAGGAGGCCAGGGCUCGGGUUUGAGCUUUCAUCCCUUGGCACCUUCGCGCUUCCCCGCGUGACAGCCCCGUAGGUUUUUCCCGGUUACCCAAGUGGAGAGGGGACCGGAGCGCUGCUGCCCACCCAGCGGGGCCUGACACCUCCUAGCCCCAGACUCCCCGUGCGCUUUCGGCCCGGCCAGUCCUUUCUGAAUAUGCGAUUCCUGAGACGUUAGCGUAUGCAUUAGCGUGAUCGAUUUUCAUCUAAAGCCAUUAAAUCAGUUUUAUAGCUUCCCCAAGAACGUGGGCAACCCCCUGCUUGGAAGAUGAAAGAGAAAGUCCUCCCGCCCGAAGCCCAGGAUCGGAGUGAGACUCACAAUGCUGUGUGUCCUCUCUGUUGCACCUAAAACUCUUCAUCAAGUAACCAGGCGAAGAGGUCUGUCUUCUCUUCCAGAAGCCCAAGAUCCCUUUUCCAAGGACUGUCUGGAUGCCCCUGCCUUGAAUCUGAGUUUUAUCUUCUGCAGACCUGGGCUUAAUUUGCUGCUCUGAAAAAGGACACAGGCUCUGUAGCCAGACAGAUGUGGGUUUUGAUGCCAGAGCCACCGUUUAAGUAGCUGGGGAACUUUGGGUACGUUUCUGGCCAUUGCUUUUCACAUCUUGUCACUGGGAAUGUUAUUAUUAUUUUAUCUAUUUUUUUUUUUGAGACGGAAUCUUGCUUUGUUGCCCAGGCUAGAGUGCAGUGGCUCUAUCUCAAUUCACUGCAAGCUCCGCCUCCCGGGUUCACUCCAUUCUCCUGCCUCAGCAUUCCAAGUAGCUGGGACUACAGGUGCGCACCACCACGCCCGGCUAACUUUUUGUAUUUUUAGUAGAGGCGGGUUUUCACAGUGUUAGCCAGGAUGAUCUCGAUCUCCUGACCUCCUGAUCCGCCCGCCUCGGCCUCCCAAAGUGCUGGGAUUACAGACGAGAGCCACCACGCCCAGCCAGGAAUGUUAUUAACACCUAGAUUCAUCAUUGGGAACAUUUUCAAAAAAUGUAUUAUUAUUCCUUAUUCCUUUCUCUUAGACAAUUUUUUCUUUUUAAGCUGAGAGGUGUCAAUAGGGCAACAUUUCUGAUUUAUACAUUGUUUUCUCCAUGGAGUUGCAUUUGGCAAAACUCCAGGUGCAUGGAAACACACAGGUGGGUCUUUGUGCCAUCAGGCUGGGCUGCUCAGUGGGCCCAGCUGUUAGUCCACGUGUUUGCCUGUGGGUCAACAGAACAGGAAAGGCUCCUGGAUUCUCUCUGUUGCUUUCCAUCCACCUGGACUGCUCCACCUCCUAUCCUCUCUGUCUCCUUGAUUCAACUCGAUGCUACCCUCAUUUAUCCAAGCAGAGAAAGGUGCUCCUUUCCUCUUUUAGUUUUCUCUCACCCUUCCUUCUUUUCACAUCUAUUUCUUACUGUUUCCUGCACAGUGCUUGUCUUUUCUCUGACAUUGUAUGAGCAAUUUCUUUGAUACAAUGGUAGUCUCCAAUUAUGCUACUGGGCAAGCCAGCCUAGAGGUUGUGGAACAGAAAGGCUCUCAGACCAACUUAAGUCACUCAUAUCGCAAGUUUUAUUGAAUCAGCUGAAAAUAUCCAGUACUUUCAAGGGGAAAGAUGUGAGAAAGGUUCACCCACUUAGCUUAAGGUGCAAGCAGGUGGCAGGACCACACGACCCGAUCCUCAGUGACUCAGUGUUCAUGUGACCGGUGUUCUCUUCUACAUUGACCUUCCAAGCUCAUGGGGUAGUUACUUUGGAACAAGGAGGCUCUGCAGAGAAAACUGCCUGAAGCCAAAAUGAUCUUGCUCUACCAGAGAGAUAAAGGGGCAAGUAUGCCUGGCCAAUAAAGAGCUUGCUAAACAGCCAUUGCUUUUCUCUGUGUUUCUAGACAAAGCUCAUGUGGGGAGAGAUGGGAUUAAUGUAGUUUCACCAAUGAUGGCUGAUUCAGCAAUAAUGUGCCUGUCAUAUAGAGGUGGCAUAAUACACACGUUGUAACUUGGCCUGUUCAUCUUUUUUCUGACUUUAAGUGUCAGAGGCAUGUGAACCAGAGCAACUCCAUCUUAACUCGGAGCUGGGUAAAAUGAGGCUGAGACCUACGGGGCUGCAUUCCCAGUUGGUUAAGGUAUCCUAAGUCCCAGGAUGAGACAGAAGGUCAGCAUAAAAUACAGGUCAUAAAGAUCUUGCUGAUGAAACAGGUUGCAAUACAGAAGCUGGCUAAAACCCACCAAAACCAAGAUGGCCAAGAGAGUGACCUCUGGUCUUCCUCACUGCUACAUUCCCACCAGCACCAUGACAGUUUACAAAUGCCAUGGCAACAUCAGGAAGUUAACCUUUAUGAUCUAAAAAGGGGAGGCAUGAAUAAUCCACCCCUUUUUUAGCAUAUGAUCAAGAAAUAACCAUAAAAAUGGGCAGCCAGCAGCCCUCGGGGCUGCUCUACCUAUGGAUCAGCCACGCUUGUAUUCCUUUACUUUCUUAAUAAAUUUGCUUUCACUUUGCUCUAUGGACUUGCCCUGAAUUCUUUCUUGUGCAAGAUCCAAGAACUCUCU